This is a long non-coding RNA of Ostrea edulis (European flat oyster), 1078 nucleotides long. RefSeq lists it as uncharacterized. Lineage: Eukaryota; Metazoa; Mollusca; Bivalvia; Ostreida; Ostreidae. The record is from RefSeq and is a predicted model, not a curated record. The transcript is spliced from 3 exons.
UUAUUCAUUUUAAUUCAAUACUUCUGCAUAUUUCUGUGAAAGUUCGGUAAGAUCUUAUAAACUAUCUAAAUGAUAUAAAUUUGGAUCAUCCCAAUCUUUUCCCCACUACACUCCUCAUUGAAUCUCACAUGGGUUUGAACUUUUGUUGGAUUCAUCGAAUUAAUAUUUGAACAAGUUAGCAACUACGUUGUUUACCUCACCAUAUUUGGUGCAUUGGGAACCAAUCAAUUUAAAACGUGCUUUGCGCGAAUUGCGCUGUUUAUUAAAAUGUGGAAAGAAGACAUAGAAAGGGGCUUUUAUCUACUGAGAUGGAAACUUCCAUUAAUCGACUUCUGGAGACCAGUACCAGGUAGGUAGCUGAAAUUUGUUUGUAAACAAGCACUUGCUAUUACUAUUAGAAAGGAGAGUUACUCACUGUAACAAAGACUUUUGACAGUCUAAUACAUGUAUAGUAUUGGUUAUAUGUCGAACGUUAGUUCCUUUCAGAGGACGUGUUAACGCAGGGUUGGUAUUACAUAGUGGAUUGGUAUAAGUACGUUGUAUGAUUGAUUAAUCCGAGUUUACUUAUACAUUUCCUGUCCAUUUCCACAACAGUUCUGUAUUACUAUUAUCUUGCAUGUACAGUGGCUGAUCUGGAAAGGUGGUGCUCCCCACUUUUGUUGAAUAUUUUUAACAAAAAUGAAAAUUAAUUUAUUAUGUGCCAUUAUCUCCUCUGGGGACGAAAAAGGUACAUUUAAAUCCCUGUGAAAAUUUUCUAGAUCCGCCUCUGAAUUCUAUAUAGUGCAAGUACAAGCGAAACAAUGGACUAAUAACUGACUUACUUCUUAGCCGUAUUGUGGAAAAAUGUAAAUAUUCUUCAUCAUAUAAUAUUAUCGCAUCUUCCAUUUCUAUUAACAGGUUCUUUUUUCAAUAGCCAUCACAAACUAAAUUAUUGAAAAAUGAAGGGAGUGGAGCUACUCAGAACUUCAAUGAGUUCAACUGAGAUUUGAUUUACAACAGUAACAUGGAUUAAGACAACAUUAUAAUAAAGGAAGACAGAAACCAAGAAAUAGACCAUUGCCAAAGAAAAUGGACAGAA